GUAGGGGGCAAGCGUUGUCCGGAUUUAUUGGGCGUAAAGAGCGUGUAGGCGGUUUGGUAGGUCCGCUGUGAAAACUCGAGGCUCAACCUCGAGACGCCGGUGGAAACCAUCAGACUAGAGUCCGGAAGAGGAGAGUGGAAUUCCUGGUGUAGCGGUGAAAUGCGCAGAUAUCAGGAAGAACACCCGUGGCUAAGGCGGCUCUCUAGUACGGUACUGACGCUGAGACGCGAAAGCGUGGGGAGCGAACAGGAUUAGAUACCCUGGUAGUCCACGCCGUAAACGAUGGGUGCUAGGUGUAGGGGGUGUCGACUCCCUCUGUGCCGAAGCUAACGCAUUAAGCACCCCGCCUGGGGAGUACGGCCGCAAGGCUA
This 371-nucleotide ribosomal RNA is filed under the name uncultured bacterium. Its description in RNAcentral is "bacterial SSU rRNA". It matches the Rfam family "Bacterial small subunit ribosomal RNA", at positions 527 to 896 of the family's 1533-position model. The record is from RNAcentral.